Molecule: ribosomal RNA, 227 nt
Filed under: uncultured bacterium
Lineage: Bacteria
Description: partial 16S ribosomal RNA
Rfam family: Bacterial small subunit ribosomal RNA
Source: RNAcentral
CGGGUGAGUAAUACAUCGGAACGUGCCCAGUAGUGGGGGAUAACCCGGCGAAAGCCGGACUAAUACCGCAUACGACCUACGGGUGAAAGCAGGGGAUCGCAAGACCUUGCGCUAUCGGAGCGGCCGAUGUCAGAUUAGCUUGUUGGCGGGGUAAAGCCCACCAAGGCGACGAUCUGUAGCUGGUCUGAGAGGACGACCAGCCACACUGGGACUGAGACACGGCCCAG